RNAcentral lists this non-coding RNA (72 nucleotides) under human gut metagenome. The record is from RNAcentral.
UCAGCGAUGGCGCAAUAUGGACUGGGCAGAAGUCAGCAGAAGCCAUAGUAGUUGUCCUUGGCAACGAAGGGC